RNAcentral lists this transfer RNA (77 nucleotides) under Pantoea endophytica. RNAcentral describes it as "tRNA-Met". It matches the Rfam family "tRNA". From Rfam's summary of the family: Transfer RNA (tRNA) molecules are approximately 80 nucleotides in length. Their secondary structure includes four short double-helical elements and three loops (D, anti-codon, and T loops). Lineage: Bacteria; Pseudomonadati; Pseudomonadota; Gammaproteobacteria; Enterobacterales; Erwiniaceae. The record is from RNAcentral.
GUUCGCGUAGCUUAAUUGGUUAAAGCACCCGACUCAUAAUCGGUCGAUUGAAGGUUCAAACCCGUCCGCGAACACCA